UCUCGCCUGGCAUACGUCGCGGUCGCGUGGUUUCAAGGACAAGGCAAGGUUGACACGCGCCGCGACUCACGACUGCCAAGUGGGGGGUCUCUUAUGUUAGCCUUCUCCUUACCCUGGCCGCGUCUCUUCUUGAGUCUCUCGGGUAGAGAGAGAGUCGCGCACCACGUGUGACAGCUUCACCUUCGCUUUUGAUUGAAUAUUAUAUACAUAUAUAUAUAUGCGUAUGUGAGGUUAGGUAUAUCCCAUCCGAUUGGAUACAUUAGAAGACAGCUAGGAUUACUAAGCAUACAACGUAAAUUGAAGCGGAUGAUUAGAAUUUUUUGACUCCUCAUAACCGACCAAUCGUUAUCUGCCAAGUUUAAUGGAUUUUAAGGCGGCAUUUAAAUUGUUAAAUGAAAAUCUACCUAACCUUCUUAUACUAGAAUGAAUAUCGCUAACAGUCUAUUCUAUUGUACUGGAGAUAGUGGUGCCGGCUAAGAACCUGCUUUUCAAGACUUGGAUCUUUCUUUAGAUCGUUCUAUCCUCUGUGCUGGGAGUCUAUUUAGCUAUAUAUAUGUAUAUAGGUACUGUAGACUGUUAGGUAUGUAUGUACAACGUUCAUUGCCCGGAUGAUACGUACUACGUGCUUUUAUUUUAUUAGAUACAAAAGUUAACGCGGCAGGUGUUGCACGGGUCCCUUGUAUCGCGUUAGGUGCUGCCAGUGGUUCGAUACAUUUCACAAUAAUUACAGAGAAUUGUUGGCGCAAGUGGCGAGCUGAAACUAAAUGUUAACCAACGUCACGCCGUAUGUUUUCUCGAGGUUUGGGAAAAACCAUUGAAAUCAAUUUCUAAUGACCACUUUAUAUUUCGCGGCGAACUUAGUUUGUGGAGUUAUAGCGCUGUAGGAUAUGUACCUCCCACUGCCGUACAGUCCUGUCCAGCAAACGGCUAAUAUUGCUCCUUUUUGCCAAUUGCCGCUCGAACGAUACACUUCGGAUGGACAGGAGCAAGAGUCAUAAGCAGUCACAAUGUAGAGCUAAGAUCUGUCAAAGGCAAAAAGGGUUAUCAUGAAGAACUUUUACUAAAUUGACCAUCUUGAGGAACAGUAAAAACAAAAAAAAUGUGAAAAGAAAAAGGAUUUGCAAAUCAAGGAUUACCAUGUUCAUCCGAAAACUGUGUUUGAAGAAUAAAUCUAUUGAACUACUCAUAUAGUGACGUAUAAAAGCCUAACCGUGUAUUUUAGCAGAUAUUUAUAUAAAGAGUGAAUAACCGAUGGAUGUGUGCAAUGAGAUACGGGUGAGUAGUAUAUUCGUAUGUUAAUUAGGAAUCAUUGUAUCGUAAGGUAUAGGAGUAAGGUUCAAUAAACCUUGAGCGAGAUACGACAUUGUCAUCCUGCAUUGGGAAAAAUAAAGCAAAGAUGAAAGGCAGGUGCGACCUAUUUGCUGCGGUGGUUGUCCGGGACUAAACUAAAGUUGGGGCCUAUCUAGCGGUCCAUUACUCGAAAAUGUCUUAAGGGGUCAAGCAGCCGGAUAAUUUUAUAAAUCUUUUCUGCCUCUUCAUAUCAUAAGACGUGAGAGUAUUUUUUCUAUUAAAAAUUACAGCUUAGGUAGAUCGAGACAGAGAAAGAAGACUUUCCACAUUCAAGAGGUAUUACUCGGAUGGAUUUUGGAAAUACCACGAAGCGUGGGUAGGCGUCAGUGAUAAAGGGGAGUUGGCAAGUUCAAAGGUGAAAAAAGCGAUUGAUAAGAAGCGAAACAAAGAAGACUAAAAUAUGACAUUUUUAAGGUCACAAUUGACAUAGAAAUUGUACGGGCAUAAGGGGGCCAAUGGAAUGACCUACUUUUAUUUUAUUGAUGAAAGCUUUUAAUUUAAGUAGGCCAUUCCACUGGCCCCUUAUAUCCAUACAACUUUUGUCUCAAACAAUUUUUUAUAUAAGAUCUUGUUCUCAAGUUAUUUGACAAUCUCGAUUUAAAUGCUUCACCCUGUAUGAUAAUGAUAAGGACGGAAUAGGAUGUACAAAAAUAAACGUGUUUAACUUGGAUGAUAGAAAAA
Long non-coding RNA from Cephus cinctus (wheat stem sawfly), 2031 nucleotides. RefSeq lists it as uncharacterized. The transcript is spliced from 4 exons. The record is from RefSeq and is a predicted model, not a curated record. Lineage: Eukaryota; Metazoa; Arthropoda; Insecta; Hymenoptera; Cephidae.